Molecule: ribosomal RNA, 402 nt
Filed under: uncultured bacterium
Lineage: Bacteria
Description: bacterial SSU rRNA
Rfam family: Bacterial small subunit ribosomal RNA
Source: RNAcentral
UGGGGAAUAUUGGACAAUGGGCGAAAGCCUGAUCCAGCAAUGCCGCGUGAGUGAAGAAGGCCUUAGGGUUGUAAAGCUCUUUCGCCUGCGACGAUGAUGACGGUAGCAGGAGAAGAAGCCCCGGCUAAUUCCGUGCCAGCAGCCGCGGUAAUACGGAAGGGGCUAGCGUUGUUCGGAAUCACUGGGCGUAAAGCGCGCGUAGGCGGCUUGGCAAGUGAGGCGUGAAAGUCCUGGGCUCAACCCGGGGACGGCGCUUCAGACUGCGGGGCUAGAGUCCGGAAGAGGGUGGUGGAAUUCCGAGUGUAGAGGUGAAAUUCGUAGAUAUUCGGAGGAACACCGGCGGCGAAGGCGGCCACCUGGUCCGGAACUGACGCUCAAGUGCGAAAGCGUGGGGAGCAAACA